Molecule: ribosomal RNA, 505 nt
Filed under: uncultured bacterium
Lineage: Bacteria
Description: partial 16S ribosomal RNA
Rfam family: Bacterial small subunit ribosomal RNA
Source: RNAcentral
AUUGAACGCUGGCGGCAGGCCUAACACAUGCAAGUCGAACGGUAACAGGAAGCAGCUUGCUGCUUCGCUGACGAGUGGCGGACGGGUGAGUAAUGUCUGGGAAGCUGCCUGAUGGAGUGGGAUAACUACUGGAAACGGUAGCUAAUACCGCAUAACGUCGCAAGACCAAAGAGGGGGACCUUCGGGCCUCUUGCCAUCGGAUGAGCCCAGAUGGGAUUAGCUAGUAGGUGGGGUAACGGCUCACCUAGGCGCCUUUCCCUAGCUGGUCUGAGAGAAUGACCAGCCAAACUGGAACUGAGACACGGUCCAGACUCCUAGGGGAGGCAGCAGUGGGAAUAUUGCACAAUGGGCGCAAGCCUGAUGCAGCCAUGCCGCGUGUAUGAAGAAGGCCUUCGGGUUGUAAAGUACUUUCAGCGGGGAGGAAGGCGAUAAGGUUAAUAACCUUGUCGAUUAACGUUACCCGCAGAAGAAGCACCGGCUAACUCCGUGCCAGCCGCCGCCGUAA